GAGCCGACGAGCUGCCCCGGGCGUCCCACCUCGCGGCCGCGGGCUGACGGCGCCCUGCCCAGACCUGCGCUGCCGAGUCCGUCCGUGCCCGAUAAAUGAGCCUGUAGAGGUACGUAUUACACACUGCUCCAGAAGAGAUUCUCACUUAUCCGAAUGUUUUUUCCACUGGAAAGAUGUACUGAACCUUCUGGCAAGCUGGCUCUUCCUUACUUCUCUAUCUGCAAUCGGUGGUUGUGUUUCCCUUUUCUAAUGACAGCACAGCUACAGUCCAUCUACAGCAAAAACCACAGGGAAAAAAAAAACCAGCUCCAGUAAUUUCUUAAGUGACAAAUCCCACAGGAUAGUACUUAUAUCACUGUGUGCAUUGAGCCUUCUCAUUGUGAUGGGCUAAAAUUCAUUAAGUAUUAAUGCUGCCUGGUGUGAGAAACAUACAAAUCAUCUGGGUGUCAAAUAGCAAUCGGGCACCCAAAUAACAGCGGGGAGCUGAUACAAGUACUCUACAAAUGCAAAAGGUUUGCAUCUGCCAAAUGAAGACAAGAAGGGACAGCAAGUGAGCGUCACACUCAACUCCUGCCAUCCCUCAUUCAGUUCGCAUGUACGUGUAAUGAAAUCAUACCCAAGGCAGGGCAGUUGUGCAGCAACGCAUAGGGAUUUGCUGCGGCAUCCCCAACACACUGAUUGGCCCCAAACUUACCUCUGCAACAGCAUCUGCGCGAUGAAAACACUUUGGGCGCUCCAUGGGGUGAGCUCGCUGGGUCUGUGCCUUUUGCUGCAUUUGCCGCAGUGUUGGGGUGAGGAGUUUGCCCUGUCCUUCAUCGUUAGAUGCACCUGCUGAUGGCACAGUGGGCCUCCCCAGUCCUCAGGCUGCCAGGUGCUGGGCAGAGUGGCUUGCUGAGGGCUCAGCUCCCCACCUACCUCUCAUCAUGGAACGGGGGAAGUGCUCAUGGCUGGGAGCAAUUCCGGUGCUUCCUGGCAUUGGUGGUGGUGACACACUACGGGGAAUCACUCUCUAAUUUUAAUCUCUCCCAAAGUGAAAUCCAGCACAGGAGGGAACCAUGCCAUCCCAAUCCUCCUUCCUAAAGUUUCACUCAUUCAGCGCUACAGUAUGAGUUUUGGCUCAGCUUUUUACCUUUCCCUUAACCUUUCUCCAAAGUCUAUCACAUCAGUGGUCUGUGUUUUUUCUUGUAGUGAUGUCACAUUAAGCACAGUUCCAAAGGUUUGGGUAUUAUUUCUUCUUGCAUCCAUGUUUGAAUGGGUAUUUACUUUUCCAAGAAACAUUCAAAGCUGUGGUAACUUAGCAAAGCCAGAGGAUCACACUGAAUGCCGUGUCCCACUGUUGGACACACACAGAGGCUUCUGUUAUAACUGCUGGCAUAUAACAAGAUCACAUGUCGUCAAAAUUCUUACCUCCUUUGUAUAAGCAUCACACAGUAUCACUUUGUGUUGAAGGGAUACGUUCAUUAGUUUUGUUUAUUGGUCAGUCUGGGUUCAUUGAUGGAGUGCUAGUGUUCACAAGUACCUUGUUUUACGUCAUUUGGCUCCUUCUCCAGUUGUGCUUUCCCAGUGGUCAGCCAUAAAUUGUUAGCAGUGUCAGCCAUUAGCUGGUGACAAUAAACGUUCAACUUAGCACUCACCUAAAAUGAAAAACAAAGCAUUACUGUUUGUUAAAAAUAACAGUAGUAAAGAAGAUGACAGCGAUCGCAUUCACGUCUUUCUUCAUGAUCAUCUGUUUUACUGGCACAUCAAAAUAGCAAGAACACCCAUUAUUUAUGAGCUAGAGAAUUCUUCCAGUGCUGAAGGGAUGCACUGAAUCAUUAGAAUUCACAAGUAUUUCCUUUUGUUAAGGAAAUUUGCUGUCUUAUAUCUUGGGCAUAGGAUCCCUUCCCGUGCAAGAAAGUAUGCAGUUAACAUGCUACAUAGGAAAGUGUGCAUGUUAGCAACAGGAAUGUCCCUGUUUUUAUUGUUUUUAUGUCACUGUGCAUUAUUUAAAUGCACUUUCUUUGUAUUUAUGAGAUUUCUUAAAAUGAAGAAGGAAACACCUCUCUGAAAAACACUGUACUGAUGUCUACACUGAAUGACUAUGCAUCUGCAAGGCAAUUAAUAUGCAGUGAAAGUGGUUUAUACGUCAGAUUGAACUUACCCAUUCUUGUGGUGUUAAUUUUACCAACGAUAGCAAUUCUUGACCCAGUAACUUACGUCAUCAAAAAGAAGGGCACAUGCAUUUGCUGUAAAUGGAGGUGUGGAAAUGAUAAGAUUCAACACUGACAAUUCAUGCUAAGAGAUCUGUAAUUUGGGGAGGUAUUUUAUUAUCAUGGUGCAUCAAAACACAGCCACUAGGAAGCUUGGUAACUCACAGAAUCACGAUGCUAUUCAUCAUUCUGUUGUCUCCAGCCUUUCAAAUGCUUGAGCAUGUUCUUCUGAAUAACUCAUUCAUUUCUGUGCUUAAUCGUGAUUUAAGGUUAAUAGUAUCUACCGGUGUGAACAAACAGUAUUUCACGCAUAACCGCUUCUCCUCCAUGAGAUAAUGGCAAUAAACCUUGAGAUUGGCCUAAGUUUCUUAGAGGUAGUCUUGACAAAGUCCCCCUACAACAAAAUAAUCCGAAAACCAAUGAGGGCUGCAGGACAUACCAAGAGGCCUUAAAACUGUAACAAGAUUUAAAAUGACAUAUGGUCCAAUUCCUUAAAUAAAAGGAAAGUAUCUAAAAGUUACAGUGAGACUUACUUGAAUAAAUGUUUAUAAAUUUCAUCAAACAACUCAUCAUUUUGACAGUAUUCCAUAAACCCCUGCAACAUGCAAAGUAUUUAAUUUAUUUGUGGCAAGAUAAAGAUAAUGAGUAACAUUUUAAAAGCUUGUUAACAUAAAAUGUCUUGGCAUGGUCAAACUUGCAUACUUCUGCUGUUUAAACUAUGUUUUCUAAGAACUCAAAAAGCCAUACAAGAAGGAGUUUCUAACUGCAAAAGUCUUCAAAAUGAUUCUUGUAAUUUGAAUUUGUAUUAAUGCAAGUCAAAUGCACAGAACCUAAUCUGAACUGGAUAUAAAUGGCACCAGAUCUCCAAACUAAAAUAAUAACAAUAACAAUAAUAAUAAUAAUAAUAAUAAUAAAUACAACUGCAGCAUGGAGAGGAAAAUAUCACUACAACCUGGAGAAAAUGAACUGUUAUAGCCUUAUAUCAAGUAUACUAAAAAAAGACAAAAAACGGUAACAGAAAUGGUCACGCAGUCCUAACUAUGGAAGUCCCAGUAGAGGCUACUAAAUAGGCUAUAGGCUAAACAAACACAAUCUAUUGCUAUGUGCCUUUUUGUUACUCAGCUGCUGUAAAUACAGUUUGUCUUCUAUAGAUAAUAAUGGAUAUUUUGUGAGCUAUGUGUUUUUAUGUUAAGUUUACCUUGAACACCUGCUGUGCCUGAGAAAUGAUAAGAGCUAAUUAAAUCACAUAAAGAGCGACACACACAAAAUACUCCUUUGUUUUGCACGAGAGACAAAUGAAACCUGCGUUUUGCCCAGCCACUCUCCUAGCUGAUGACUGCAACAAACAAGGAGCAUUCGAGAAACACCACGUGCCAUGGCAGUCUGAUGCCUGCAGGUGAGGAUGGUCCCUGUACCCUACAACAGCCUCGCGACGUGCUCUAACCACACACACACCUGAAAAAAGGCUUGCUUACUCUGAUGUGAGAUUUUCCCCUCCAGCCAGGAUCCAGUUCUAAAGCAGCUGCCUCUACCACGCACAGGAAGGCAAAAGGUUGUAUGUUUGCUAAAAGCCAAGUUUCCAGCUGCACAUAUCCAGUAAGAUCACCUCGUCUCCCAUUGAAACCCUACCAUGUGAGUUUUCAUGUUGCUGUGCUGUUGUUCCUGCUUUCUUGCAGAAUUUCUCCUUGAGCUUUUCUGAACGUCAGCUGAAGGCUUAAGAGGUGAUGUCUGAGGAACAACCAUAAGUUGCCAAGCUGGAGCUUCCUCUAGUUCAUGUGGCCCUCAUUUACACCCAAAGAGCGAGAGGAGACCAAGGGCCGUUAAUUUUAAGACAUCUAUAAUAAAAAAAGUUAUCUCUUGUCGGCAGUGGCAGGGAAAAAAAGAUAAAAGGUGCUGUGUGGUGCGAUUGCUGGCAGAUGGCACUGUUGGGAGCCCAGAUCUUCGCGGCGCGCAGCAGCAUGGCAGGGAGGGGAUGGGGCUGCUUCCACAAUUAACCUGAACCACAGAUCUGUUUACAGCAAUCUAAUCCAUAUGUGCUAAUAUCUUGCUGCUACACGAGUGAAACUCUCUCUUGGAUUGUUCUCAGAAUGUACUUUCUGCACAUCUGGCUUCAUAUGAACAGGGCAUUUGCUUCUACUGUUCCUGCAAGGAAUACAGCAUACCUUAUUCCAUCUGGAAGCAAAACAAAAGACAGCAUUACAGUGAAAUCCUCAGUAUUGUUAUUUUCCAGAUACAAAGCUCAAGUAAUUUAAGAAUCCUUCCCUUCCCUUCCCUUCCCUUCCCUUCCCUUCCCUUCCCUUCCCUUCCCUUCCCUUCCCUUCCCUUCCCUUCCCUUCCCUUCCCUUCCCUUCCCUUCCCUUCCCUUCCCUUCCCUUCCCUUCCCUUCCCUUCCCUUUCCCCUUUCCUUUCCUUUUUUUCUUCCUUUUUUUUUCUUUUUUUUUUCUUUUUAAAUAAAAUUGUCUGUGCAA
Molecule: long non-coding RNA, 4657 nt
Filed under: Gallus gallus (chicken)
Lineage: Eukaryota; Metazoa; Chordata; Aves; Galliformes; Phasianidae
Description: lncRNA (ENSGALG00010020062.1)
Source: RNAcentral